ACCCUCGGCCCUGGGCUCGGAGCCGCCCCCGAAGUGGGCGCGCGUUCUCCGCCGGGCUGGGGCCGCGAAUGGAGCCAGUAAAAUGACGAGCGGUGCCCGAACGCACUCACUCUGAGAACCGAUUAGUGUGAUUCAAAUUUAUGGGCGCCGUGGGUGUUUUUUUCUGGGCAGCGGCCCCGGAGCAGAAGAGUCGGGAGUUAGAACAGCGUCUUAACAGGGAACUGACCUAGUUUCAUGUAUCGAGAGGGCUCCCCUGAGACACUGUUUAUUUAGCGAGUCCUUGUCCGGUGCGUCCUGCUCUGCUAGUUGUAACUCUUUGAAGCGUCAGAACAACCGUUGUUGCCCCCAUUCCUCCAGCUGGGGAAGAGGGAGCACGGAGCUCAGUGGCAGCUCUGGGACGGAGGGACAGCUUCGGACGCUUGGAGGGCCUGGCUCCCUGACCCCAGGUCCCCGCCCAAAUGCCACCUCAUCCACCUGUGUUUUCAACAGCCAGCUGUGCUCUGGGGCUCAGCAGAGGGCAGGGCAGAGUCCCUACCCCGUAAUGGGAUGGGCAGUGGCGGCGGGGAGCCGCAGAGCUACAGAGAAGACCAUUUCAGGCAGUAAGAACCAAAGAGACUACAGCAGGGUAGUGAGACCGUGACGAAAGUGAUGGUUCCACUUCAGUUGGGGGGAUGAGUCAGGGAAGGCCUCUGAGAAGGUGACAGCCGUGCAGAAAUGUGCAAACGUCUUGAGGCCAGAGUUUGGUGUCUGGGGAGCAGGAAAGGCCUCGUUGGCUGGGGUGUGUGAGCAGAAAGAGGUCUGAGUGUCAGAGAGGGGCCACAAUUGGAAUAUGGAGUUUGUUCUGUGCGGCACUAAUGAGUCUGAAUUGGGAGUGACCUGACCUGAGUUACAUUUUAGAACGUUCUCUCCCGCUACUGUGUAGGGACUGGGCCAUAGGAAGGACUAGACAGGGAGCCAGGAGACUAGCUAGGUGGCUCUGACAGUGGUUUGGGUGAUGUAGAUUACAAACCAGUUGCGUGAGUUGGCUCAGACAGUCAUAAUGAAAUACCACAGACCUGGAGGCUGAAACAAGAAAUUCGUUUUCUCACGAUUCUGGAGGCUGGAAGUCCAAGGUCAAGGUGUUGGUAGGGUUGGUAUCUGGUGAGAAUACUCUCUUUGGCCAGUAGAUGGUCACCUUCUUGCUCUCCUCACAUGUCUUCUUCUCUGGGCACAAGCAUUUCUCUUUUUAUAAGGACACCCGUCAUAUUGGAUUAGCCCCCCCCCACGACUUCAUUUAACCUUAAUUACCUCCACAAAAGCUCUAUCUCCAGAUAAAAUCAUGUUAGGGCUUCAACAUGUAAAUUUGGAGGGGAUACCAUUCAGUCCAUAACACCAGGUAAGCCCUGUGACAAAAACAUUCCAGGAGAGCUGGCAGGGUGGCUUUAGGGAAGGCCCCCCUGAGGAAGGGUUUUGCACAUCACUCAGGUCUCAGCUCAGACGUCUCCUGGAGAGGCUGUCCCUGAUGGCCACGUAAGAUUGCUCGUUAACCCAGCCCCCUGCUCCCUCUUUACAGCACUCUUCACUGUCUAAAAUGACCAUGUUUAAUUAUUGGGGUACUUAUUUGUGGUCUGCCUCCACCCCACUAGGACAGCAGAGAACCUUCCUGUUUUGUUCUCCAUUCACAGCCCCUGGAAUAGUGCCUCGCACUCCAUAAACACUUCUCGAAUGGAUGUCCCUGGGAAAUUUGGAGCUAAGAGCUGUAGGAUGAACAAGAGCUUCUAGGGGUCGCCUGCCUUCCUUGGCUGGUGGACGCUUCCAUCAUCUUCAAAGCCAGCAAUGGUCGGUUAAUCAAGCCUUUCUACCAUGCAUCACUCCAAUUCUGCCUCUGACAUCACGUCUCCUCUGACUGUCCUGCCUUCUUGUAAUUACAUUGAGCCCAUCCAGAUAAUCCAGGAUGAUCUCCACAUGUAUAUAUGGAAGAGUUCUUAUGGCCAGAACAUUUGUAUUUUAAAGAAGAGAAGAACAAGGCCUGUUCUUUUUAGAUAGGUUUUGUUUUUCCUAAGGUAUGUUGUAUUUGUGACUUCAGUCUUCUUACUCACCUUGGAUUCUCCACUCCCCUCCAUGCUGUCCUGUCAUUUCUCAAGUGAAUAAGGAGGCAGUAUAUGAGUCUAUUUUUAGUUACCUUGGUUUUCCCUUCAGCUGGGCACCAAACUGGGUAUCUUAGUGAAAGAACCCAUCUCCUAGCACUCAUCUGGAAAUCUGGGAGGGAGUUUUGGGCCAUGGGGAUCUCUGGACAGUGGCUCCUGCACCCAGGCAGUGACAGCAGUGGUAGUUCUGUUUCAUGUGUAAAGUCCUCCAAGAUUCUCAGCUGAAGCUGGCACAUGCCCAUGACAAAAGUGGUUUUUGUUUUAUAUAUUCACAUCCUAAGUCCCCUCAAAAAAAAAAA
Molecule: non-coding RNA, 2425 nt
Organism: Vicugna pacos (alpaca)
Lineage: Eukaryota; Metazoa; Chordata; Mammalia; Artiodactyla; Camelidae
Source: RefSeq, a predicted model, not a curated record